CCAAUAGCGUAUAUUAAAGUUGUUGCAGUUAAAAAGCUCGUAGUUGAAUUUCGGGAUUGGCGCAUCGGUCGUGCCUCACGGGGUAUGAACUGGUGCAGUCAAUUUCUCACCUUCUGGAGAACCGCGAUGUCCUUAAUUGGAUGCCGCGGGGAACCAGGACCUUUACUGUGAAAAAAUUAGAGUGUUUAAAGCAGGCAUUUUUGCUUGAAUACAUUAGCAUGGAAUAAUAAAAUAGGACGGCAUGGUUCUAUUUUGUUGGUUUCUAGGACCACCAUAAUGAUUAAUAGGGAUAGUUGGGGGCAUUAGUAUUCAAUUGUCAGAGGUGAAAUUCUUGGAUUGAUUGAAGACUAACUACUGCGAAAGCAUUUGCCAAGGAUGUUUUCAUUAAUCAAGAACGAAAGUUAGGGGAUCGAAGACGAUCAGAUACCGUCGUAGUCUUAACCAUAAACUAUGCCGACUAGGAAUCAGACGAUGUUAAUUUUUUAAUGACUCGUUUGGCACCUUACG
Molecule: ribosomal RNA, 507 nt
Filed under: uncultured Glomeromycotina
Lineage: Eukaryota; Fungi; Glomeromycota
Description: partial small subunit ribosomal RNA
Rfam family: Eukaryotic small subunit ribosomal RNA
Source: RNAcentral